AGCAUUUUUCACAUCUUUAAAUAACUGAAGGAUUGAAGGAUGACCUUACAUUAGGGAAAUAGGGUCCAGCUCAUGUAUUGACUGCAUUUCACAAAGACAAGAUUCUGUUCUCAGUCCCCCAUCCCCAAAGAUCAUGUCUGUACCUCUUUUUAUUGCAGUAUAGUUUAUUUACAAUGUCAGGUUAGUUUCAGGUAUACAGUAAACUGAUUCAUUUGUACAUAUAUAUGUAUAAAUAUAUAUAUAUAUAUUCUUUCUUUAUAUUCUCUUCCAUUAUAUGUUAUUAUAAAAUAUUGAGUAUAGUUCCCUAUGCUAUACAGUAGGUCCUUGUUGGCUAUUUUAUGUAUGGUUGUAUGUAUAUUUUAAUCCCAAUCUCCUAAUUUAUCCUUCUCCCCCAUCCUCUUUGAUAAUCCCAAAUUUCUUUUCUAUGUCUGAGUCUACUCCUGUUUUGUAAAUAAGUUCAUUUGCAUUCUUUUUUUAGAUUCCACAUGAAAGCAAUAUCAUAUAUUUGUCUUUCUCUGACUUACUUGGUAUGAUAAUCUCUAGGUCCAUCCACGUUGCUGAGAAUGGCAUUAUUUCCUUCUUUUUUUAUGCUGGAUUAACUUGCUGUUGUAUAUAUGUUAUACCACAUCUUCUUAAUCUAUUCAUCUGUCGAUGGGCACUUAUGUUGCUUCCAUGUCUUGACUAUUGUAAGUAGUACUGCUGUGAACAUUGGGAUGAAUGUAUCUUUUCAAGUUAUGGUUUUCUCUGGAUAUAUGCCCAGGAGUGGGUUUGCAGGAUCAUAUGGUAGCUCUGAUUUUAGUCUUUUAAGAACCCUCCAUACUGUUCUCCAUAGUGGUUGCACCAAUUUAUAGUCCUGUUGACAAUGUACGAGGGUUCUUUUCUCUCCACACCCUCUCCACCAUUUUGUAGACUUUUUGAUGAUGGCCAUUCUGACUGGUGUGAGAUGAUACAUCAUUGUAGUUUUGAUUUGCAUUUCUCUAAUAAUUAGCAGCGUUGAGUAUCUUUUCAUGUGCCUGUUGGCCAUCUGUAUGUCUUCUUUGGGAAAAUGUCUAUUAAGGUUUUCUGCACAUUUUUUGUUUGUAUUUUUUUGUUAUUGAGUUGUAUGAACUAUUUGCAUAUUUGGGAAAUUAAACACUUGUCAGUCCCAUCAUUUGAGAAUAUUCUUUCUUAGUCCUUAGGUUUUUUUGUUCUGUUUAUGGUUUUCUUUGCUGUGUAAAAGCUUGUAAGUUUGAUUUGGUCCCAUUUGUUUAUUUUUCAUUGUAUUUCCAUUACUAUAGGAGACAGAGCCAAAAGAUAUUGCUAGUAAAAAUUCAGCAUGAGACUGUUAUUCUAAUAGAUAUUUAACAUGAAAGGUGUGUGUGAUAUCACUAGAGUGAAUGGGACCAGAUUUUCUCAGAGAAUGAAAAAAUUUUCAAUGUAUAGAUGAUAAAUAUCAAGAAACAGUUCAUGAUGAUAGAAGUUACUGAAUGAAAAUAUUUGUUUAAAUUCUUAAAUUUCCCCAAAUGCUUCUUUAUGCAAGAAGAAUCACAUUUAUCUUUGACUUCAGACAUUUGACUCCAAUAUUAUUUUAUGUUUUCUACUUAAGCAGGUAUUACUAAUGUCGAUGCUGGUUAAAGUGCCCAAAUACACUUUAUAAAUUCAAACUGAUGACAUUAUUUUACAUGGAAGGCCCUCACACAUAGAAAUCAAGUACAAAGUUAUAUAGCCUGUUCUUUAAACUUUGAAAUAUAUCUUUGAAUACAGUGCAAACUGUAGCAAAAAGUGACCAGUACAUUUGUCUGAGGUUAUGCCUGACACAAACAAAUGUUCAUGUAUAUACUCUGUGUAAAAUACAAUUUUAAAGUAUUUAUUUAUGUUCCUAGUAGAGUUUGAGGCUUAAAAUAGGUAUUAUUAGAUUAUACAUUUUAUAAUAAUAAACAGCCUCUUCUCAGUUAUUCCAUUUACUUUUCAAGGAAUUUUAUAAUUAAAAAUACUAAAUUGGUAAAAUUAAUGUAAUAAUAGAUUUGGGGAAGGUUAAAACAUAAUUUGUGAAGAAAUAGGUUAAAACCCUGAAAAUCUUGACUUUAAUAUUUUAAUAAAUUAAAUUACAUUUGAAUUUUUCUUAUAUUUACUGUUUUGGCGAGGAAAAGAUGAUUCAAAACUAUGUUUUUAGAAUUGCUUGAAAUUACCAGUUUCAAAGUAGAACAUAGGUUCUUACUUGCAAGAGAACAACUUCUGUAGAAUGUGUAUCUAAGUUUUUCUGAAAUUCUCUAGUCGUAAGUUAGAUUUUUAAAAUAUAAUUUGUACUUAAAUUAAAAAUUACAAAUAUGUAUGCAUUUAACAUUUUAUUCUCUUCAAACAGAAUUAGAGGAAAAACUUGACAUCCCAAUGAUUAAUAAUCAUACUUCUACUUCUAUUGCCCAGAUACAACUUUAAAAAAAAAAAAACAACUAUUGCAUGUCUAAGGUCUUAAAACUUUCCUGGGUUUUUUAGAUACAUUUACUUGGAAAUGCUUUUUGAAGUUUCAUAUUUAGGAUGUAAUGUUAUUAAAUAGGUCUUGUAAUGGCUUCUGUUAUUUCGAUCAUUGGCUUUGCAUCUCAGCCCAACUUCCUCAGUUUCUAAUUGUAGUUUAACACGUACAAUUGAACAAACUAUUAAAAUUUAUUAGAGGACUAUACCUUGAUUUACUUUUAUAGAUUUUGAAGCCCAGGACAUCCCGUGGUAGCAUUUGUUUGUGGGACGAAAUAAAGCUGUGUGCAUGUGGAUAUAUGUGUAUUUGUUAGAAUGCUUUUUUUUUUCCCCCAAUGUUACAAACUUAGGAGAAAAAAAAUCCCUGCAUUCUCAAUUUGUAGACGUUGUAAAGUGUUUAAUUACUUUUGCCACAGUUAAAGGUACACAUUUUAAAAAACAUAAUAGGAUUUGAUUUAAAAUUCUUUGGUGAGAUUGCUCAUGAUGUCCUAGUUUGGGAAAGUUAAUGUGGGAUAUAUUCAAAUGAUUCCAUCUGUAAUGAGGAAAAUGCAGAUAAGUACCUGUCUUUCUUAUCAAGUGUUUAAGAAUUUUAAAAAAACCCUGCAUGUUAAAAUUUGAAAAAGCUUUAAAUGCUUUUGAACAUGUGUAAUGCCCUUGGAAUUAUGAUUUAGAUGUAUUCUAAAAGUUUCUGUGAAGAAGCCCUAUCUCAUUUCACAUAUAGUAAUCUGAGAUAAGAUUUUUAAGUGAUCCUAACAAGAUGAUAUACCCAGACAGAGAUACUGCUGGCCAUAUGUCUUAUGUUGCAAUAGUUUUGCUUUUGAUAAGGUUCUUGAAUAAUGUAUUUAUGGAUGGCUGGUUGUAGAGUGAUCUGACUCUUCUUCCUUGAGCAGAAAAUGAAGACUUCCUUAGUUAAGACAGCAAAAAUUCCAUGCGAAAUUUUAUCUUUCAACUUAUGAGAUAGGAAAGAUUACCUUAAGGUUAACUCUAUGUUGAAGGUGGGAUUUUGAGAUCAAGGAAAAUUUUAAUGAGAUGUAUUAUCAGCACUGCUUAUUGUUUUGAUAUUCUUUAAAACAAUUUCUUAUCCAUAGAGGGUAAUGAAAGCUUGGCUCUCCUUUUAAAAACAUGGCCGUUUGAAAACAUCUGCUGAAUAUAUUGAGAUAUAGUGACUGAAUUGAACCAUAUUAGUUACAUAUUUAAAAAUUAUAGCCUUAGUGAUGAGUUGUCAAAAAACACUAUUCAUAUAACUACUUUUGAAAAGUAAACAUGUCAUAACUGUGCAUUUUAUGUUCUGGAUAUUCAUUGUGAUGGAUUUGCAAUGUUGUUGAAGUCAUAAUAGGAUGGGUUUUUUUUUCUGAAACAUUAUGGUGGAAAAGGUUUUGACAUUUCUGCUACAGUGCUUUGUAUAUGUCUUGGGUGUAGUCUAAAAGAUAGUACCCAGGGAAUCAGAAAUACCAGUCUGAAUUAGUGAUGUUUUACAUAAAGCCCUAUUAAUAUACAAUUUAGUUUUAUUUCAAUGAAGAAGUGUGGUUAUAAAAAAAUAUAGAAGCUCAAUUUAGGCUAACUCGGAAUUGCCUUAUAAAUAUCCUAGAUGCAAGCUUUCUUUAGUUUCUGCCUUAUACAGCAAUUGAAUUUAAAUGAAUUCUCCUAAGUUAUUUGAAAAGUUUAUUGUCUUAUUGUCUUAAACAUUUAAAUUUUUCAUUUUGUGAUAAUUUAUGACUUUAAUUAAUGAUAUUCAUGAAACGGUUUGCAAGAUGAGUCAUUGCAAAAUUCAAAUUGUUGAAAUCUGAAUUCCACCAAAUAUAUUUGCAUUCCAUAUCAACAAAUUAGGACAAUAAAUAUUUAUUGGUUGUGUUUUAUGUGUAACAUAAUUGUGGUUCUCCAAAUACUCCUGGAUGCUUUUAAGUCCAAAGAAUAACUUCCUGAAUUGUGGAAUGUAAGCAAGAGAGCAGAUUUUCUGAUUUCCAGACUUUGAGGGAGAGAUUGCAGAACAGUUUUAGGAACAAUGCAAUAUAUUUAAGAAUUAGAGGGAUUGAUGCAUUUAAAAAGAUGAAUUGACCUAAAUAUUUAGCCAUGUGUUUAGAUGCUUAGUCUCAGAGGAUAACUUGGGAUAUUUGAAAGUUAUUAAAGUGAAAGGAAAGGAAAUGUUUAGUGUUCACUGUAGUACAAAUGUGUUGUUAAGAGAAUUACGCAUUAGUUUUGAGAUGCAGUAUAUUCAAAAGAAAAUAUUCUUUUAUAUGGAUUAAGUCUAAUUAGAGCAAAUCAUUAGGCCUUACGAUUCAGACAAGAGCAUUAACAUGGGGAGAAGUAGCUUCAGGGACUGCAUGUGAAUGACACAUCCUACCAACUCAGGUGUCAUCCUAGACCGCUACUGCUUAGAGUGUUCUUUUCCCCUAAUAUUUGUCACCUGAUUAUUGGGGAGGCUUACUUCAUGAAGGCUUUUUAAUGACUGGCAGGCUUUAACUUGUCUCCUGUUAACCUAAUCAUAUGAUAUGGAUGUGAUACUUUUUGAUUAAUAGAAUCAUUAUAUUUGUUCAUUAGGUGUUUAUCAGGUUUUUACUGUGUAUCAGAGACUAUACUAAAUUCUAUGUAAGAAAGUGAGAUUUAUUAAAACCAAUUGUCAGUUCUCUGAGAGCAUAGAGACUAGUAGGAGAUAUGUGGACCACAUAUAGAUGACUACAGUAUAAGAUAAUAGUUGACAAGUUAAAGUCCACUGCUUACUGUUGUAAAUAAAGUUUAACUGAUAUAUAGCCAUAGCCAUUCACUUGUGAAUCAACCUGGGGCUGACUUCGUAUUUCAUACUGCAGUGGCAGAGUUAAGUAGUUAUGACAGAGAUUUUAUGUCCUGCAAAACCUAAAAUAUUUGCUAUUUGACCCUUUCAGAAAAAAAAUUCCUGACCUCUAGUAAAAUACAUUAUCUAUACUUUGUGCUUGGUACUCAAAAUAAUAAAAUGUUUUGCUUUUAUCAUUGCUAAGGAUCUCAUAAGGAUUUCAACCUAAUUCAUCCAAAUAUCAGGAAAAUUACCAGCAUAUGAGUAAAACCAUAGAUACUGAUUCUUCCUUUAUGAUUCCAGCGGUUUGUCAAGUGAUUCCCUCACUCUAAAUAAAACACAGCACUAUUUUUAAUUAAUUAAUGCUUACCUUUUACAGUUAAUCUACAUACUUAUUAUAUUUGUAUAUUUUCCUUUUUGGCUAAAUUCUUUGGGUAUAAAACUUCUUAGUCUUUUUAUUCAACUGCUAAUUAGUAUAUCAUGCAUUAUUUUACCUUUAACUAUGGAGUCGAUAAUACUUAACAUUGGAUGUAAUUUUCAAGCAUCCAAAGCAUUUGUUAAACUUUCCUUCAAUAAAUGAUAACCUUACAAUCUCAUAAAAUUGAUUUACUGAUAAAUUAGCAGUCCUCUUUUGUAGUAUUCUAGUAAGCAGUAAAACAGAAAACUAAAGGGGCUAACUAUAUAAGAACCACAGUUAUAUGCAACUCUCAAAUGUGUAUUACUUGAGAGUUUAUAAUUCUACAUUUAUAUAUAACAUUAUUACUUAUAUAUAUUACUUAUAUAUAACAUUAUUAUAUUCUUGGUAAUAUAAGUUAGAAAAUUAAUGAGUAUAGUUGCACUCAUGUCUAUAGUGCAACUAUAGGAAUCUUACGUUUUUGACAUUGUGAAGUGUCAAAUGGUGUUUUAAACCAAUUUACCAGAACAUUUUGGUUUUCCUCAAGUCAAAUGGAUGAGAAAAUGAAUAAAUGACCUUGAAACUUAUAUUGAAGAUACACUUCACUUGGUUCAUUAGAAUAAGAGCAGACAGUUAUAUGUGCUUUCUAUGUACUAGGUACUUUUCCAUAUCAGCGGUAGGAGAGCCACCAUUUGAACUCAUAUAGUCUCGCAGAACACCCUAAUAAUUUGUUUUUUACAUUUGUUGUUGUUUGUCUUUUUAGGACUGCUCUGGUGGCAUAGGGAAGUUCCCAGGAAAGGGGUUGAAUUGGAGCUGUAGCUGCUGGCUUACACCACAGCCACAGCAACGCCAGAUCUGAGCCACGUCUGCGAUCUACACCACAGCUCACGGCAACGCCAGAUCCUUAACCCACUGAGCCAGGCCAGGGAUCGAACCUGUGUCUUAGUCAGAUUGAUUUCCACUGAGCCAUGACCAGAACUCCUGUUA
Molecule: long non-coding RNA, 6596 nt
Filed under: Sus scrofa (pig)
Lineage: Eukaryota; Metazoa; Chordata; Mammalia; Artiodactyla; Suidae
Description: lncRNA (ENSSSCG00040059700.1)
Source: RNAcentral